Molecule: unclassified non-coding RNA, 191 nt
Filed under: Ambisporaceae sp.
Lineage: Eukaryota; Fungi; Glomeromycota; Glomeromycetes; Archaeosporales; Ambisporaceae
Description: partial contains 5.8S ribosomal RNA and internal transcribed spacer 2
Rfam family: 5.8S ribosomal RNA (bases 1-71)
Source: RNAcentral
GUGAAUCAUCGAAUUUUUGAACGCAUAUUGCACUCUCUGGUAUUCCGGAGAGUAUGCCUAUUUGAGGGUCAUUUGAAAUAAUAUAAAUUUCGAUAUUUUAUUGAAAUCAAAAAUGGGUCGGUCCAUUUUUCGUGUGGUGGUCGCCUAAAAUACACGUCAAGCUCAUUUCGUGGGGUGAGUGAUACUUUGGU